CAAUUAUAAAAAUUCGAUACUUAUUACCGAGCAUUUAGAUUCUUCCUCCCUGAAAGUUUGUUCCUUCAGAUCAGUAGCAUAACAACAAAUUCAACAUAGUACACUGAAACGGUUAAGUAACUUGAAAAAUUGUUACAGCUAUACUUUUCUUUAAUAACCAAGAACAUUUCAAAGUUACUAAUGUUGAGAUUUUUAUAUCACAAUAAGCUAUAAUACUGUGAUCUUGCUUGGGCAGUUUAAAAAUGACAACAAGAAUUUCUAUUUUGAUGAUCUCUAGUUCAAGAGCACAGCUUUAAUCCUCAGUCAGUACUAUAUUGCAACCAACUCCGAAGAGUACAAAACAGCAUAGCAAUUUAGCUGUUUCUAGUUGUCACGCCCCGAACCCGGGGCCCGGGACGCGAGCAGACGCCGCGCACCUGCAGGGCGGACCCCGCAGGCAUGCAAGGCAGAUAAAUCAGAUCAACCAUCAAUAACUAAAUAAAAAUAAAUUCCAGCU
This 496-nucleotide long non-coding RNA is filed under the name Phoenix dactylifera (date palm). RNAcentral describes it as "long non-coding RNA (PDAC_LNC022227)". The record is from RNAcentral. Lineage: Eukaryota; Viridiplantae; Streptophyta; Magnoliopsida; Arecales; Arecaceae.